AAAUACACCCAGCGGAUCGAUUGACGUCAACUAGCGGUAAUACGUCACUGCUUGCAAGUUGCUUUACCCAAGAUGGCGUAGACCGAAAGAGAAGUUUCUGUAGCGUGUCCUUGCACAGCUGUUCUUUCGCGUAUGGCUGAUGUUCAUUGUGAUUUAUAUGAUUGAAACAACUCGAAUAGUGAUAAGGAUAUUGAUGCCUGUGUUGCUUUACACUGCUGUAAUGUUAGUAAAACUGAAGGAUUAUGUCACUUUAGAUUGAGGAAGUUAUUAAACUUGCAGUACUGUAGGAAGGCUUAGAGUCACAACAGAAAAAAUGUUUUAGCAGCUUUAUGGACAUUUUCAAACCAGGAGUCAUACUGAGGUGUAUUGGUGUAUCAGAACGUCACUUGUUUGAAAUAGUAGAGUCAUUCUGCAAUAUUUUAUGUGACAUGCAAAUAGUAUAUUAAGUGGUCAUCUAGAAAGGACACUGAAACUAUUGUUGCACUCUAACAUUUUGGAUGGAAAUAAUUCGUUUCCUGGAGUGUUUGGUUAUAUUGAUGGCUCACACAUCCAAAGCAGGAAAAGAUCCAGCUAAUUAUUAUAACAGGAAGCAGUUUGUGACUCCAAAUUAAGUUUCUGGAUGUGUUUUAACGUUAGCCAAGAUCAUCCAGUGAUGUACGGUGUGGAAAAACAGCCCAGUAUUUUAGCAGCUUGUCUCAUCAUCAGCUAUAAAUGUUUACUGGGAGACAGUGGCUACCCAUUAAAUUCAUUUUUAAAUGGUGCCAUACAAAGACUGUGGAAAUAUGACAAUGCAGCAAAAACAAUUGAAUUUGCGACUCGGUGCCACACAACUUGUGAAUUAACAAACACUUGGCUUAUUAAAAGAUAGAUUUAGACAUUUGAGGUACUUGAACAUGAAAAAGUUAGAACUGGUAUCUAGAAUCCUAUUGGCUUGUUGCAUAAUUCAACAAGAUAAUGUUAUUGUGUAGCCUAUCGUGGAUGGCUACCACACAUUGAAAAAACAGGUCCAGGUACUAACAAGGAAGCUAUUGCAAAGAGAGAUUUUCUGGCAACCAGUGCCGAAAAAAUAAUUGCUUUGUAAAUAUGACCUGUUAUAUAAACAACCUGUAUUGAUUUUUGAAAUGCUAUUUUCAUCAUUAUGUUUAUGUUUAUAUUUAAUUACUUUUUUUUUCUGCGUGCAUCUUGCAGUAAAAUUCAACUGUCAACACUACCUUGUGUGAAGAAUAGUUGUCACAGGAGUAAUGAUUAAAUACAGUGAUAUUUAACCCCUUAAGCAUAGUGAAUUCAUAAUAGGUAUAAAUAUUAUAGUACUGUAAUAAAAUAUAAUGUACAAGGAAUAAACCAGUCAGACAAGUGUCACAUUUUAACA
Molecule: long non-coding RNA, 1369 nt
Organism: Limulus polyphemus (Atlantic horseshoe crab)
Lineage: Eukaryota; Metazoa; Arthropoda; Merostomata; Xiphosura; Limulidae
Exons: 2
Source: RefSeq, a predicted model, not a curated record